Molecule: long non-coding RNA, 250 nt
Organism: Branchiostoma belcheri (Belcher's lancelet)
Lineage: Eukaryota; Metazoa; Chordata; Leptocardii; Amphioxiformes; Branchiostomatidae
Exons: 3
Source: RefSeq, a predicted model, not a curated record
GUUUGCUGUAUACAUACAGUUAGAAUCCUCUGAACUUCACUCUGACAUCUGUUAUUCUUUCUUUUCUCCUCAGACAUCAGCAAAGGUGACCAGUGAAGAGCAUUGCCUGAUACCACGGACAAUGUGCCUUCUGUAUGCAGUAUGAAGGACACACAGCUGAAGACCAUAUCAUCACAACAUUAUGGCACCACUGAUGGAGCAUAUUCUGUAUGCAAUAUGAAGGACAGAUAGCUGAAAACCACACAUGGUA